Molecule: ribosomal RNA, 408 nt
Filed under: Triticum aestivum (bread wheat)
Lineage: Eukaryota; Viridiplantae; Streptophyta; Magnoliopsida; Poales; Poaceae
Description: partial small subunit ribosomal RNA
Source: RNAcentral
AUGGAUCGCGCCGCGUGCCGCCCCGCCACGCGCAGGCCCUCCCGCGCCGCACGUCGCCUCGCGCGCCAGCUCGCCGCCAUCGUGGCCCCGCGCGAGAUCCUCUUCGAGAAGACGCCGGAGGACACCCUCGAGGCCAUCUACGUCGAGGUUCCCCUGAAGCCCGGCCAGCUCAGCGGCCCGGAGAACAUGUUCGCCGUCCUGUUCAAGGCUGAGGAGGAGGUGGCGGCUUCCAGCGACGACGGCAAGUCCGCGGCCGGCGACGACGAGGAGGCCCCGGAGGGCGACGGCGACAACGAGGGUGCGGAGGACGACGACGGCGGCGACAAGGCCAGGGCCGCGGAGGGCGGCGACGGCGACAACGAGGGGGCGGAGGACGACGACGGCGGCGACAAGGCCGCGGCCGCGUAG